GCCUCCUGCUGUGUCAUGGUGAAGAUCCGUGCUGGAGCUGAUGGACCUUCACCCCUGAAACCCGCUGAAGAAGAGGCUGCCCCUCUCCCUCUGCCUCUGCCACUGGCCUGAGUUGCGGCUGGAGCUGCUGGCUGAGCCACACUACCAGAAGCUGUCUGCUGCGACUGUGCCAUAAAAGCUGCCCUAGGACACUCUCGAGCCAUGUGUCCCUCCUACCCACAUCUGAAGCAGGCUGUCGUCCCAACUAGACAUACACCCUUGUGCGGCUUUCCACACUUCCUACAUACUGCAUUAACUGCACCUGAGCUCGAGCCACUUCCUAAUCUCAGACCUGACUUGAUCUUGUUCUAGAACUUGUUCUUCUUUGACUUCUUGGUGGUAUUGCUCCACCUCUUACUGCCUGAACUCAGAGAAGAAGGGUCUAACCUUCCCCACCUGGGGUCUUGGAACCAGAAGGCUGUGCUACUGACUGCUUAACUUUCCCUUUGAUGAUUGCACUAGCCUCCAUCCUCCGAGUCAUAUCCACUAUGGCAUGGAAACUCUCCCUCUCUGCUGACUGAAUCAAGGAGGAAUACCUGGAAUGGAGCCUCAUGAUAUACCUCCUUGACUUCUUCUGCUCUGUGUCCAGAUUCUGCCCAGCAAACGGCAACAGCUCCAAGAAUCUGUCUGUAUACUCAUCCAUACUCAUCUCAUCUAACUGCCUCAACUGCUCAAAUUCCAUCAUCUUCAACUCCCUUGAACUGUCAGGGAAAGCCCAUCUGCAAACUCAUUUGCAAACUCCUCCCAUGAUAGGC
This 794-nucleotide long non-coding RNA is filed under the name Manihot esculenta (cassava). RNAcentral describes it as "long non-coding RNA (MESC_LNC012977)". The record is from RNAcentral. Lineage: Eukaryota; Viridiplantae; Streptophyta; Magnoliopsida; Malpighiales; Euphorbiaceae.